GAUGAAUGCUGGCGGCGCGCCUAACACAUGCAAGUCGAGCGGUAACAUGGACUUCGGUCUGAUGACGAGCGGCGGACGGCUGAGUAACGCGUGGGAACAUGCCCCGAAGUGAGGAAUAACUGCCCGAAAGGGUGGCUAAUGCCGCAUAUGAUCUUCGGAUUAAAGGAUUUAUCCGCUUUGGGAGUGGCCUGCGUACGAUUAGGUAGUUGGUGAGGUAAUGGCUCACCAAGCCUACGAUCGUUAACUGGUCUGAGAGGAUGAUCAGUCAGACUGGAACUGAGACACGGUCCAGACUCCUACGGGAGGCAGCAGUGAGGAAUCUUCCACAAUGGGCGAAAGCCUGAUGGAGCGACGCCGCGUGCAGGAUGAAGGCCUUCGGGUUGUAAACUGCUUUUAUAAGUGAAGAAUAUGACGGUAACUUAUGAAUAAGCACCAGCUAACUACGUGCCAGCCGCCGCGGUA
This 462-nucleotide ribosomal RNA is filed under the name uncultured bacterium. RNAcentral describes it as "partial 16S ribosomal RNA". It matches the Rfam family "Bacterial small subunit ribosomal RNA", at positions 28 to 522 of the family's 1533-position model. The record is from RNAcentral.